This is a long non-coding RNA of Leptinotarsa decemlineata (Colorado potato beetle), 289 nucleotides long. Lineage: Eukaryota; Metazoa; Arthropoda; Insecta; Coleoptera; Chrysomelidae. The record is from RefSeq and is a predicted model, not a curated record.
UUUAUCAUGUGCCGAACAUUUUUUUUGGGUAAGGUGUGACCACCGCCAAUUCGAACGACAAGGAUUCUUUUCACGUCAUCCAAAAAAGGAUAUAGCUGAAGACGCAACAACGAAAAAUUUCACUGGACAUAGUGAUGUUUCAAUUUUGGUAUGAAACUAAAAACAAAACCAAAAUUAUGAAUCCUGUUCUCUCAGCAGUCAGAGUCAUACCAUUUUGAAGUUAUAUACACAAAUGAAAAUAUUGAAAUAUAAUUAUGGGAUCUGGUAUGAAUUACACAUAAGAACCUAA